AAGGCCCCCCUGCUCCUGGGGCCACUUCACACCCUGAACCCCUCCCAGCGCUGCGGCACGGCCGUGCUCCGUGUAGUAUCCUGUGAGUAAGGGUCUGCGUGCUGCCUUGCGUGCUGGCACGGCACAGCCCACAUGCAGCUCAGCCCCUUGCAUCACAGCACAGCCAUGCAGCAGCGUGGAAUAGCCGUGUAGUAUCCUUUGAGUAGCCAUGGAGUAUCUUUUGAGUAGCUGUGUAGCCUCCUAUGAGUAUAGGAGCCUUGAGCCUGCAUGCAUCCUGUCAUGAAACACUCCCAGAGUGUGCAGUCCAGUCACAGCAUGACUCUGUAGCACUUCAGAGUACUGGUGUAGUAUCUUAUGAGUAACACCCCCGCUACGGCCUGUUGCACUUCCUUGUGCUCUUCUAUGAGCCCAUCACAUGCAAAUCACCACCUGGACUGUGCUGUGAUCGUACAGCACCUUGGAGUAGCUGUGGAGGAUCCUUGGAGUAGCUGUGUGAGGUCCCUGGAGUAGGAGCCUGUGAGGAGGAAGAGCAGCGUGUCCCAUGCCACGUUGCAGGGGGCCACAGCUCUGUCUGUGCAAGGAAAGCCCCAGGGGUUGAGCAUAAACCUUGAGUAAGGUUUGAGUAGAGCUCGGCCACCCCCUCUGUACCAUUGUAGGGAAUGGCCAAAUUCCCUAGGGUGAAAUUCCCCCCUAGGCUCCCCAAUUAUUGUCGUGCCUUUUGUGUUAAAUUCUACAGUUCCAUUAAAAACCUUGCUUUGUUACAAAAAUGCCAUUUUCCCCUGCAAAUCCUUGGGCUUUUUCCUCACAAUGAUUACACUCUAUCACAUUUUCUGUGGAUUUUUCCUCUGUUUAAUUUGGAUUAUUCUGAAAUUGCUAACCCUUCUUCUCACCAAGCAAAGGGGCUGCUUUCAACCCAAAAAGCCCCAAAUCCUUUGGUUUUGUUGGUUUGUGUUUGGAUUUUUUUCCCCCAAACCCACCGAAGCUGAAUUGAUUUUUGCAAUCGGUCGAAUUCAUGGUUUUUGAGAACAAAAUGCAGCUUGGCUGCGCGCCGGGGCUGCCGCGCUGUCGCCGCUUUGUGCCACUUAUUGUGUCUUUUUUGGGUCACUUUGGGCAAAACAGGGCUUUUUUUUUUAGUCUUCUUUCAAUGAGCCCAGUGUGCAGGCCAGGGGAGGAGCCAUGGCCUCACAGGCGCUGGAUUUCCAGAGUUUUUAACCAUUUCUUGCCAUAAUUAACUCAGAAAUCACUGCUGGUUUUGGCCUGCCCCUGUCGGUUGCUGGUCCUUUAAGAGCAGCAAAAAAAAAAAAGCAAAUUUGAGGGAAUAAUUGCUAGUUUGCUGUGCUUUGUUAAAAAAUAAGUAUUUAAGAUUUGGCAUCCGCAUUUUUGUCUGUUCAUUUGUGAAAUCUGUAAUUCCAAGGGCAAUUCAGCCCCGGUGAGAAGGGAAA
Molecule: non-coding RNA, 1442 nt
Organism: Taeniopygia guttata (zebra finch)
Lineage: Eukaryota; Metazoa; Chordata; Aves; Passeriformes; Estrildidae
Source: RefSeq, a predicted model, not a curated record